GCCUAAUACAUGCAAGUAGAACGCUGAAGAGAGGAGCUUGCUCUUCUUGGAUGAGUUGCGAACGGGUGAGUAACGCGUAGGUAACCUGCCUUGUAGCGGGGGAUAACUAUUGGAAACGAUAGCUAAUACCGCAUAACAAUGGAUGACACAUGUCAUUUAUUUGAAAGGGGCAAUUGCUCCACUACAAGAUGGACCUGCGUUGUAUUAGCUAGUAGGUGAGGUAACGGCUCACCUAGGCGACGAUACAUAGCCGACCUGAGAGGGUGAUCGGCCACACUGGGACUGAGACACGGCCCAGACUCCUACGGGAGGCAGCAGUAGGGAAUCUUCGGCAAUGGGGGCAACCCUGACCGAGCAACGCCGCGUGAGUGAAGAAGGUUUUCGGAUCGUAAAGCUCUGUUGUAAGUCAAGAACGAGUGUGAGAGUGGAAAGUUCACACUGUGACGGUAGCUUACCAGAAAGGGACGGCUAACUACGUGCCAGCAGCCGCGGUAAUACGUAGGUCCCGAGCGUUGUCCGGAUUUAUUGGGCGUAAAGCGAGCGCAGGCGGUUUGAUAAGUCUGAAGUUAAAGGCUGUGGCUCAACCAUAGUUCGCUUUGGAAACUGUCAAACUUGAGUGCAGAAGGGGAGAGUGGAAUUCCAUGUGUAGCGGUGAAAUGCGUAGAUAUAUGGAGGAACACCGGUGGCGAAAGCGGCUCUCCGGUCUGUAACUGACGCUGAGGCUCGAAAGCGUGGGGAGCGAACAGGAUUAGAUACCCUGGUAGUCCACGCCGUAAACGAUGAGUGCUAGGUGUUGGAUCCUUUCCGGGAUUCAGUGCCGCA
This 822-nucleotide ribosomal RNA is filed under the name uncultured Streptococcus sp. RNAcentral's name for it is "bacterial SSU rRNA". It matches the Rfam family "Bacterial small subunit ribosomal RNA", at positions 46 to 850 of the family's 1533-position model. Lineage: Bacteria; Bacillati; Bacillota; Bacilli; Lactobacillales; Streptococcaceae. The record is from RNAcentral.